Long non-coding RNA from Vespula vulgaris, 465 nucleotides. RefSeq lists it as uncharacterized. The record is from RefSeq and is a predicted model, not a curated record. Lineage: Eukaryota; Metazoa; Arthropoda; Insecta; Hymenoptera; Vespidae. The transcript is spliced from 3 exons.
UUGAUAGCGUUUCGAGAACUUACAAGGUAGAGGUACUUACAAGAGAGAUAUCAAUUGGACCUUCUAUUAAACUUUACUGAGUCAUGUUAAGCCGUCAUAAUUAUGCAAGAUAAAGUCUACUCACGAUGUGCAUAUCUACGCGUAUCCAUACAAGUGGAAAAAUAUUAAUACGUUUGUUGCAUCUUGUAAGACCACAUCUCAACACGUCAACUUUUACGGAAUCAACGCACGUAUCUCCCCAUUCGAGAAGACAUGUGGACCAAGGUAGCUGAGAUUGAAAGCUACCGAUCAAAUAAUAUAAGGUCAUUGAUAUCAAAGAACAAUAUUUUGUUAUUAGAGUUGGUAUUAAUGACAAUAGAAUGAUACCUGCGGACCAUAUUUUAACGGAUGAUCUGCUGGUGAAUUGGCCUAAUAUCAUUUCCAAAUAAUAAAAGGGCUUCCCAACGACGAAAAGGACGAUUAUGU